AACCCUCACUGUUAGUUGCCAGCGGGUCAAGCCGGGAACUCUAACGGGACUGCCACCGUAAGGUGAGAGGAAGGUGGGGAUGACGUCAAAUCAGCACGGCCCUUAUGUCCAGGGCUACACACGUGUUACAAUGGUCGGUACAAAGGGCAGCUACACCGCGAGGUGAUGCUAAUCUCUAAAGCCGGUCUCAGUUCGGAUCGAAGUCUGCAACCCGACUUCGUGAAGUUGGAUUCGCUAGUAAUCGCGCAUCAGCCAUGGCGCGGUGAAUACGUUCCCGGGCCUU
Molecule: ribosomal RNA, 283 nt
Filed under: uncultured Sphingobacteriales bacterium
Lineage: Bacteria; Pseudomonadati; Bacteroidota; Sphingobacteriia; Sphingobacteriales
Description: partial 16S ribosomal RNA
Rfam family: Bacterial small subunit ribosomal RNA
Source: RNAcentral